Molecule: ribosomal RNA, 196 nt
Filed under: Escherichia coli
Lineage: Bacteria; Pseudomonadati; Pseudomonadota; Gammaproteobacteria; Enterobacterales; Enterobacteriaceae
Description: partial 23S ribosomal RNA
Rfam family: Bacterial large subunit ribosomal RNA
Source: RNAcentral
GCACUGCCCGGUAGCUAAAUGCGGAAGAGAUAAGUGCUGAAAGCAUCUAAGCACGAAACUUGCCCCGAGAUGAGUUCUCCCUGACUCCUUGAGAGUCCUGAAGGAACGUUGAAGACGACGACGUUGAUAGGCCGGGUGUGUAAGCGCAGCGAUGCGUUGAGCUAACCGGUACUAAUGAACCGUGAGGCUUAACCUU